ACGACUACAUAGGUAGGUGUUGCCCAAAUCGAAGAUAAGAUGAGAGAAGGUCGUGAGAUGGUUUGGUCAUGUUCUACUUUCAAUCCAUUUGUGUUUCUUUUCAUACAGCUUUGCAGAUGAAUGAAUCAUCAAGUAUGAAGCUGCCAUAUAUUGUCAGUAUCUUGGUUUCUGAUAGAAUUGUUUCUGCAGUUAUGCAAGAUUGAUUCUGAAGGAAAAGCAAGGAAGGUCAUCGGUUGCUCCUGUGUUGUUUUAAAGGAUUUUGGAGAAGAGAUCGAGGCUCGCCAUGUCGUUUUGGAGUAUGUGAAGUCACACUGAGAAGUAUAGCUCUUUCGAUCAAGAGAGGCCUUCCUUAGUUGAAUGCUCUGCGGUUUUGUGAUUGUUAUAGUUGAACCAUGUCUUAUUUUUUACCGGUUUUUGCUCGUGUCAAGUUUGAAACAAUUUCAAUUUAGUCCAUCAUAUUCCAUUAAAUUCCCUGUACGACCAUCUGAUUUGGGAGCUUAGAACUCUGCAUCUUAUCCUUUCAGAUAGUGGUUUAAUGGUUGAUGCUUGAUUCACUCGGUAUGUCUUUUUCUGGUUUGAUGGCUCGAAAAGCUGGAUUUAAUUGUCAUGUUUUGAAUUGAAAAGAAAAAAAAAGGAUACUCGGAUCCCGACCUGACUUGGGCUUUUAGCCUGGGUCAUUUGCUGUUUGGGUCGGGUUCCGGAUCAGAAACACAAGCAUUCUGCUUGUUUCAAGUCGGGUCGGGUAUCAUGGAAACCCGACCUGACCCAUUGACACCCCUGAGUAUACGCGGUUCCAUAACCAAACAAUUUAAACCUCCAUGUUUCGAGGGAGUCAGGGAAAAGAAUCUAACACGCAUAUAAGUCGCAACUCUCGCAAUCGAAUGAUACCUUUUCGACAUAGUCCUCCUUUGCGAGGCUUAAGGUGAAGCCAAGGCAGCUGAAGAUAGAGGACAUGAGAGAGCAGGCGUAAGAGAAAAGCGCCACUUCGACAUCGGCCAUCUGGGAGUACACAACCUUCACGAGCUGCUUGAACGACUGGGCCAUCUUCCCCAGUGGCUGGUGGUCGGCCAUCGCUUGAGUUUAUGCAAGCAACUAUUGACCGUGGGGCGAUGGCCGUCAGGCAAACCUCAACUGUGGCACUCGGUUAUUGAUGGCAAUGGAAGCGAGCGACGGUGCCAGAUGUUGGGUCAAGGUGGCUGUCGGUGAUGGCCACGACACUAAUACUUGGGGAUAGUGGUGGACCAAAUGCGGUGCGACUUUAUCCGUAGGUCAAUUGGUGGUGAUGGAAGCAUCCACCGGUGUGCGGUGGUGGGCAACCAGCGGCCAAUGACAUGCGACGAGUCGACAACAAUUGAUGGUGGGG
Syzygium oleosum is the source of this 1363-nucleotide long non-coding RNA. RefSeq lists it as uncharacterized. The record is from RefSeq and is a predicted model, not a curated record. Lineage: Eukaryota; Viridiplantae; Streptophyta; Magnoliopsida; Myrtales; Myrtaceae. The transcript is spliced from 3 exons.